GAGACGAAGUCAGAUGCUCAACUUACUGAGCCACCGAAGUGCCCCAGAGGUUUUUUUGUUUUUUGCUUUUCAUGCAAAAUGUGAACAGAAGAUUAAAUAUGCCUCUAUAUUAUCAUAUACAAUGGGCACAAGCUCCUAAGUAUGACAAGUACUCCUUGGGAAGACAUUAUUGGUGUGCACUAGGCUGCCUGAGAGCCAUGGGGUUAGAAACUAAACCCAGAGAAGAUGAGUGUGGUUUAUAAAGCUGCGAAGUCAGGUACCCGCCUGUGUUAGGAAUCCACCCAGGAUAAUCAGAGGACAUUUUGGGGACUGGGUCCCAGCAGAAAUGAUGGCUUUGGUGGCAGAGGAAUAUGGAAGAAAGCCAUGGCUGUUGGGAUUAAAGAGAAAGAAUCCAAUACAACCAACUGAAAGAAAGGGAAGGUGAAACCAGAGCGACACAGUGGUUGCACCACAUCACGAAUGCAUGCAAUGCCACUGAACUGUACACUUUCAAAUGUGUAUUUUAAUUGUGGGGCGGCUGGGUGGCUCCAUCAAUUGAGCGUCCAACUCGCUUUUGGCUCAGGUCAUGAUGCAGGAGUCCUGGGAUUGAGUCCUGCGAAGGGCUUAGGGUUCUGCCGCCCUCUGCCCUUCUCCCUUGCCCUCACUCUCUCUCAAAUAAAAAAAAUUUUUUUAAUGGUUAA
Molecule: long non-coding RNA, 680 nt
Organism: Suricata suricatta (meerkat)
Lineage: Eukaryota; Metazoa; Chordata; Mammalia; Carnivora; Herpestidae
Exons: 2
Source: RefSeq, a predicted model, not a curated record